GGAAUGAGUAGCGCGAAUGCAGUGAGAAUCUGCAUGGCCGAAAGCCUCAGGUUUUUGGAGGAAGGUUCGUCCGCUCCAAGUUAGUCGGGAGCUAAGGUGAGGCCGAAAGGCGUAGCCGAUGCACAGACGGUAGAGAUUCCGUCACCACCAAAAGAGUUAAGCACAGGGACACAUUUGAAGUCUCAGAGCCGGGUGUUGGUUCCGGUAGAGAUCGAGGGAAAUUAGUACCGAAGUCUGGGAUGGAAGAUGGCGAGAAAAGCUGUGUGUAUUUCUGAGGUGCCCGUACCGCAAACCGACACAGGUAGGUAGGAAGAAGAUUCUAAGGCCAACGGGAGAAGGGUUGUUAAGGAACUCGGCAAAUUGACCCCGUAACUUCGGGAGAAGGGGUGCUCCAGAGAUGGAGCCGCAGAGAAUCGGCCCAAGCAACUGUUUACCAAAAACACAGGUUUGUGCUAAAUCGAAAGAUGACGUAUACGAGCUGACGCCUGCCCGGUGCUGGAAGGUUAAGAGGAGAUGUGCAAGCAUUGAAUCGAAGCCCCAGUGAACGGCGGCCGUAACUAUAACGGUCCUAAGGUAGCGAAAUUCCUUGUCAGGUAAGUUCUGACCCGCAUGAAAGGCGUAAUGAUUUGGGCACUGUCUCAACAGCCCGCCCGGCGAAAUUGUAGUACCGGUGAAGAUGCCGGUUACCCGCGACAAGACGGAAAGACCCCAUGGAGCUUUACUGUAGCCUAAUAUUGGGUUUCGAUGUUGCAUGCACAGGAUAGAUGGGACACAGGGAAACAAUCGCUUUGGCGGUUGCGGAGUGGCCGUUGGGAUACCAUCCUUGCGAUAUUGGAAUUCUAACCUGCGGCUCUGAAUCGAGUCGGGGGACAUUGUUAGGUGGGCAGUUUGACUGGGGCGGUCGCCUCCUAAAAAGUAACGGAGGCGUUCAAAGGUUCGCUCAGCUUGAACGGAAAUCAAGCAAAAGAGUGCAAACGCAGAAGCGAGCCUAACUGCGAGACUGACGGGUCGAGCAGUAACGAAAGUUGGAGUUAGUGAUCCGGUGGUAUGUGAGUGGAAAUGCCAUCGCUCAACGGAUAAAAGUUACCCUGGGGAUAACAGGCUGAUCUCCCCCAAGAGUCCACAUCGACGGGGAGGUUUGGCACCUCGAUGUCGGCUCAUCGCAUCCUGGGGCUGUAUUCGGUCCCAAGGGUUUGGCUGUUCGCCAAUUAAAGCGGUACGCGAGCUGGGUUCAGAACGUCGUGAGACAGUUCGGUCCCUAUCUGUCGUGGGCGCAGGAUAUUUGAUGGGAGCUGUCCCUAGUACGAGAGGACCGGGACGGACGUACCUCUGGCGCACCAGUUGUUCCGCCAGGAGCAUAGCUGGGCAACUACGUACGGAUCGGAUAAACGCUGAAAGCAUCUAAGCGUGAAGCCGACCCAAAGAUAAGAUAUCCCACUGAUUUGAUCAGGUAAGAUCCCUUGAAGACUACAAGGUUGAUAGGCACGAUGUGUAAGUGGAGUGAUCCAUUCAGCAAGAGUGUACUAAUAGAUCGAGGGCUUGACCA
RNAcentral lists this ribosomal RNA (1546 nucleotides) under human gut metagenome. RNAcentral's name for it is "bacterial LSU rRNA". It matches the Rfam family "Bacterial large subunit ribosomal RNA", at positions 1299 to 2925 of the family's 2925-position model. The record is from RNAcentral.